UUCCGGUUGAUCCCGCCGGACCCGACUGCUAUCGGAUUAGGACUAAGCCAUGCGAGUUGAACGCUCUUUAACUAUGUUAAGAGCGUGGCAAACUGCUCAGUAACACGUUGCCAACCUACCCUAAAGAUAUGAAUAACCCCGGGAAACUGGGAUUAAUGCGUUAUAGGUCAGGAAUCCUGGAACGGAUCUUGACUAAAAGAAUUGAAGAGCAUGUUCAUCGGUUCGCUCUAGGAUGGGGCCGCGUCCGAUCAGGUUGUUGGUGGGGUAAAGGCCCACCAAGCCUAUAACCGGUACGGGCUUUGAGAGAAGUAGCCCGGAGAUGGACCCUGAGACACAGGUCCAGGCCCUACGGGGCGCAGCAGGCGCGAAAACUUCGCAAUGCGCGCAAGCGUGACGAGGCUAAUCCGAGUGUUACCUGCUGAAGGUAACUUUUGUUAAGUAUAAUUCGCUUAAAGAAAAAAGGGAGGGCAAGCCUGGUGUCAGCCGCCGCGGUAAUACCAGCUCCCUGAGUGGUUGGGGUGUUUAUUGGGCCUAAAGCAUCCGUAGCUUGUUUUAUGAGUCUUUCGUUAAAUCUGACGGCUUAACCGUUAGGCUGCGUGAGAUACCGUAGAACUAGGAGGCGGGAGAGGCUGAUGGUACUCCAAGGGUAGGGGUAAAAUCCACUGAUCCAUGGAAGACCACCAAUGGCGAAGGCGGUCAGCCAGAACGCGCUCGACGGUGAGGGAUGAAAGCUGGGGGAGCGAACCGGAUUAGAUACCCGGGUAGUCCCAGCUGUAAACGAUGCGAGCUAGGUGAUGAAGUGAUUAUGUAUUACUUCAGUGCCACAGGGAAGCCGUUAAGCUCGCCGCCUGGGGAGUACGAUCGCAAGAUUGAAACUUAAAGGAAUUGGCGGGGGAGCACCACAAGGGGUGAAGCCUGCGGUUCAAUUGGAUUCAACGCCGGG
Molecule: ribosomal RNA, 943 nt
Filed under: uncultured marine archaeon
Lineage: Archaea
Description: bacterial SSU rRNA
Rfam family: Archaeal small subunit ribosomal RNA
Source: RNAcentral